Molecule: ribosomal RNA, 333 nt
Filed under: uncultured bacterium
Lineage: Bacteria
Description: partial 16S ribosomal RNA
Rfam family: Bacterial small subunit ribosomal RNA
Source: RNAcentral
CCUACGGGAGGCAGCAGUGAGGAAUAUUGGUCAAUGGCCGCAAGUCUGAACCAGCCAAGCCGCGUGAAGGACGAAGGUUCUAAGCGUUGUAAACUGCUUUUGUCAAGGGGUAAACGCAGAUACGAGUACCUGUCUGAAUGUAUCGUACGAAUAAGGAUCGGCUAACUCCGUGCCAGCAGCCGCGGUAAUACGGAGGAUUCGAGCGUUAUCCGGAUUUAUUGGGUUUAAAGGGUGCGUAGGCGGUCGGAUAAGUUAGAGGUGAAAUCCCGAGGCUCAACUCCGGCAGUGCCUCUGAAACUGGUCGGCUAGAGAGGAGUUGCGGUAGGCGGAAUG